RNAcentral lists this long non-coding RNA (2857 nucleotides) under Glycine max (soybean). Its description in RNAcentral is "long non-coding RNA (GMAX_LNC000502)". Lineage: Eukaryota; Viridiplantae; Streptophyta; Magnoliopsida; Fabales; Fabaceae. The record is from RNAcentral.
UAAUGUUGGUUGGAGAUGGUAUUGGAAAGACCAUAAUCACAGGUAGCAAAAGCGUUGGAGGAGGCACCACAACCUUCCGUUCAGCCACUGUUGGUAAGCAAAAUAAUAUGAUCAUAUUUUUUACUCUAAAUUUAUUUGCAUACUCAACAAAUAUUAUAUACGUACACUAUUAAUGAUGGUUUAGUUAAUGGUUUUAUAUAGAUCUAUUUAAUAUUUGAAUAAUGCCUUUUAACUUAUCGAUCGAUGACAUAUUACUUGUUCAUAAAUCGAGAUCAUACACUUUGUUAAUUAAUUGUUAAAUUAAACACAACGAUGAAAAUUAAUUAAUAUUAAAAAUUUGGGGUAUAAGAAACACUUUCCUUUAUUUAAAUAUUAUUUUACUUUUCAAGCUUAGGAUUAGUAGGAAUAGUUUACAGCAAUAAAAAAUGUGAUAUAAUUUUUAUUUAGGCUACUAUGAGUUUAAUUUUUAUAUAAUUUUAUACUGAUUAUGUAAUCAAUAAAAAAUUAUCUUAGACAUAAUUUUUAAAGUAAUUAUUAUAGUUUAAAAAAUAAUCAUGCAUAACAAUACGAAUGACAAUGUAAAAGUUGUCAAUACAUAUAAAAUUAAAUUCUUUUACAGUUGAAUUAAAAUUUGUUAUUUUUUUAAUCUCAAAUUCAUUGGUGAUUGCCCUCACCGGGAAGCUAGCUAACCCUUAAUAUUAUAUUUUUUGUGAGUGACUUUAACAAAUAACAAUAAAUUCAUAGAAGUAAUAUUUGGUUCACGUCAUUUUAAUUCUAUUCCUCUUUAUUUGAUAGGGAAAAGAAAGAGAAAAAUAAACUAUUUUUUAAGACUUAGAGCUAAAAAAUCACGACUCAGUGCACACUUGUCAGUGAAGGAUAUAACCACUAUAUUUAACAUAGCUACACGUUGAACCCAAAUACAUUUUAUAUUGAUUCUAAAUAUAGUUGUGUACUUAACAUAAAUAGUCGACAAGUUAAAUAGUUUUUGUAGAUACAGACAAAAGGAGAUUUAAAUAAUAAUAAUAAUAAAAAUAAAUAAAUAAACAGAUCGAUGCCAUUAUGAUUUCAUUCAAAUAUAUAUUUAUAUCUUUAUUUUUUGCUUCGAGGACAUGUAUUAAAGAAAUUUGUAUUUAUGUUACAAAAAAAGCAAUUUGUAUUAUUAAUUAGACGUUGCCACGGCACCUUAAUUUAAUAAAAGCUCCAUAUUGUCUUGAUUAGUGAUUGAGUUGUUCGUGGAGCCCAACCGUGACCCACAUUAAGUUGAUAAAGCUAGAAUCAUCUUAGAUAUAUUUUCUUCUAUUUUCGUGGUAAAAAUCUUUCAUACAUUUUUUUUACAUUAUAUCUGAUGCUACCCGGUUAAAAAAAAAUUGUUAAAAUUUCAUGUCUCUAGCUAAUUAAUUAAAUGUUUUUGUCAAAUAAUAAGUUAAUUAAAUGUUGUCCAUUCGAUGAAAGAAAUUCAUCAUACAUGAAUGGGGUAACAAAAGGGGGGCUAAAUUAAUAUUUUAAUCUGUUGCAAGUCAAAGAGACAAUUGUGUGCUGUUUUCCUAUUGGAAUUAAGAAAAUAUAACGUUCUUUAGCCGCAGCUUUGGUUCAAGGGUUAAUUUACGUGGAUGAAUUGAAUUGGUGGCCUUUAAAUUUAAAGGGGCACACACGAAACCUGUAUUAGAGAGUAAGUUAAGGUUAACAAGCUUAAAUUGUUGAGGUUAUGCGAACAGGGGAGCAAUUGAAAUUUGACUUUCAGUGGUAAAAAAACUAAUGGAGACGUGAGGCAUGCAAAAAGGACAGAUAAAUGCCUUCUAUAUUAUUUUAUAUUUCUUUGAUGGACUAUUCUAAAAAAUUGCAUCCAUCACCUUUGAUUCCUAAUCCAAAGCAUGCUACCCAACUUGAUAUAUUCUAAAGUUCCGAGUACUGAAGCUAGAUUAGACUAGAGUAUGAUGUCAUUAUUAAUUGAUAAUAAAUUGAACAAUUCAAAAGUAGAAAAAAUUAGUUGGCACAGUACGGCAUUUGGAUAGGGAUAUUUGCAAUUGGGUUGAAUAUAUGAAUAUAUUAAAGCCAGAAAAUAAAUAUUAAAAAACUUUGUUUUUUUAAUACAAAUCAAUAUUAUGAAUAGUUGAGAUUUUAUAAAAAAAAUUGUAAAAAAAAUCUAUAAAUUGGGAGUGUAAAAAGAUAUUAUACAUUAUACUCAAUUGUGAAUCACGAAUUAUUAUAUCCAUGUAAUAAAUUUGUUUAUUUUAUAAUAAUCAUCUUAAGAAUUAUAUUAUUACGGUGUUUGGUUGGUUGAAUAUAGUUAUACAAACAGUAACUAUAUAACAAUUAAACUCCAAAAAAUUAUUGUUGUUUAAUUCAAUUAUUCUUUUUUUUUUUUUCAGCUGCUGUGGGUGAUGGAUUCAUUGCUCAAGACAUCACAUUCAGGAACACAGCAGGAGCAGCAAAUCACCAAGCAGUGGCAUUCCGUUCUGGCUCAGAUCUCUCAGUAUUUUACAGAUGCAGCUUUGAGGGUUUCCAAGACACACUAUAUGUUCAUUCAGAGAGGCAAUUCUACAGAGAAUGUGACAUUUAUGGCACAGUGGAUUUCAUCUUUGGCAAUGCUGCUGCAGUCUUGCAAAACUGCAACAUCUAUGCAAGAACCCCUCCACAGAGAACCAUCACAGUCACAGCUCAAGGCAGAACUGACCCUAACCAAAACACAGGAAUCAUCAUCCACAACUCCAAGGUCACAGGUGCCUCAGGCUUCAACCCUAGUUCUGUUAAGUCAUACCUAGGAAGACCCUGGCAAAAGUACUCAAGAACAGUGUUCAUGAAAACCUAUCUUGAUAGCUUGAUCAACCCUGCUGGUUGGAUGGAAUGGGAUGGUAAC